Molecule: transfer RNA, 42 nt
Filed under: Persicaria lanigera
Lineage: Eukaryota; Viridiplantae; Streptophyta; Magnoliopsida; Caryophyllales; Polygonaceae
Description: partial tRNA-Phe
Source: RNAcentral
AGGGAAGGGUCGGGAUAGCUCAGUUGGUAGAGCAGAGGACUG